CACGUAGGCACCAAGCGUUGUCCGGAUUUAUUGGGCGUAAAGAGCUCGUAGGUGGUUUGUCGCGUUGUCCGUGAAAACUCACAGCUCAACUGUGGGCGUGCGGGCGAUACGGGGCAGACUGGAGUACUGCAGGGGAGACUGGAAUUCCUGGUGUAGCGGUGGAAUGCGCAGAUAUCAGGAGGAACACCGGUGGCGAAGGCGGGUCUCUGGGCAGUAACUGACGCUGGAGACGCGAAAGCGUGGGGAGCAAACAGG
This 255-nucleotide ribosomal RNA is filed under the name uncultured bacterium. RNAcentral's name for it is "partial 16S ribosomal RNA". It matches the Rfam family "Bacterial small subunit ribosomal RNA", at positions 524 to 776 of the family's 1533-position model. The record is from RNAcentral.